GUCUACGGCCAUGCCACCCUGAGCAUGCCCGAUAUCGUCUGAUCUCGGAAGCUAAGCAGGGUCGGGCCUGGUUAGUGCUUGGAUGGGAGACCACCUAGGAAUACCAGGUACUGUAGGUG
This 119-nucleotide ribosomal RNA is filed under the name Pteropus alecto (black flying fox). The record is from RNAcentral. RNAcentral also lists the same sequence under 1 other name. Lineage: Eukaryota; Metazoa; Chordata; Mammalia; Chiroptera; Pteropodidae.